This 125-nucleotide small RNA is filed under the name Marmota monax (woodchuck). Lineage: Eukaryota; Metazoa; Chordata; Mammalia; Rodentia; Sciuridae. The record is from RNAcentral.
GCCAGGCAUAGUGGCAUAUGCCUGUAAUCCCAGCAGCUUGGGAGACGGAGGCAGGAGGAUCAUGAGUUCAAACGCAGCCUCAGCAAUGGUGAGGUUUUAAUCAAAUCUGUGAGACCCUGUCUCUA